RNAcentral lists this ribosomal RNA (497 nucleotides) under uncultured bacterium. RNAcentral describes it as "partial 16S ribosomal RNA". It matches the Rfam family "Bacterial small subunit ribosomal RNA", at positions 28 to 507 of the family's 1533-position model. The record is from RNAcentral.
GAUGAACGCUGGCGGCGUGCCUAAUACAUGCAAGUCGAGCGAACAGACGAGGAGCUUGCUCCUCUGACGUUAGCGGCGGACGGGUGAGUAACACGUGGAUAACCUACCUAUAAGACUGGGAUAACUUCGGGAAGCCGGAGCUAAUACCGGAUAAUAUAUUGAACCGCAUGGUUCAAUAGUGAAAGACGGUUUUGCUGUCACUUAUAGCUGGAUCCGCGCCGCAUUAGCUAGUUGGUAAGGUAACGGCUUACCAAGGCAACGAUGCGUAGCCGACCUGAGAGGGGGAUCGGCCACACUGGAACGGAGACACGGUCCAGACUCCUACGGGAGGCAGCAGUAGGGAAUCGGCCGCAAUGGGCGAAAGCCUGACGGAGCAACGCCGCGUGAGUGAUGAAGGUCUUCGGAUCGUAAAACUCUGUUAUUAGGGAAGAACAAAUGUGUAAGUAACUAUGCACGUCUUGACGGUACCUAAUCAGAAAGCCACGGCUAACUACGUG